Molecule: long non-coding RNA, 5719 nt
Filed under: Sorghum bicolor (sorghum)
Lineage: Eukaryota; Viridiplantae; Streptophyta; Magnoliopsida; Poales; Poaceae
Description: long non-coding RNA (SBIC_LNC009223)
Rfam family: Plant small nucleolar RNA R71 (bases 2025-2131)
Source: RNAcentral
GCCCCGAAGCAGAGUCCUGAUUGGCCUCUUGGCCAGGGCGGGCGCCCAAGGGAGGUGGGCGGCCGCCCAGCUCCCGAGCCCGAUUCGCCUCCCGUUUGUUCCCGUGGCUUCUGGAUCCUUCUAGAUUGAGGAAAAUUGCGCGGCACGUAAUUAUCUCGUUGUAAACAUGACAUGUGGACCUUCUCUCCAUAUUUUCUGAUAAACCCCUGCAGAAAUAGAUAAACACCAAAGCUCGUGGCAUUCUGUCAGAUAAAACCCUAAUUCUAGAUGUUUGUUUCAUAUUGAUCCUUUUUCAUGUUUAUUUGAUUAUUAAUUUUAGUACUUAAGGACCGUCAACAGUGAUCUCCACUAGCUUUGAGUAGACACCUUAGUUUACUCUGCUUUGUAUGGAUUUUACUCCUCAGACACACACUGAGUCAUACUUAGCACGUGAGACUUCGACUGGAUAGGGGCUGUUGUUUUCUUACAGUGAGCUCACCGGCAUGCCGACACCUCUACCACAACAAGCUCUAGUGACCUCCACAGCUCCCAUUACUACUAUGGAGCUUCUGUCCUCAUUAGUGGCUUCAUCUGAGUAGCUUGUACAGACUACUACACUAGAGGCCUUAGCGACAGCUACAAAGUCUAUGUCAGACACAUCCACCAGAGUUGAGGCUGAGGUAGGCACCGAGACAGCAUAGCAGGCAGUUCUAGAGUCUUCAGGGCUGACCCGGACCACUUCUCCUACAUGUGGUGAUACUGAGGGUCAAGCAGAUGCUCAGCCUAGCAUAGCUUCCCAGAGAUCGACCGAUGAGGAUUCUGAUGUUGACUUGACUCGUUUGAGGCCGUUCCUCACGACUCAUCCGCUUCGCCUCCAUAGAUAGACUCUUAGGUUUUUGGCAUUUGAUGCCAAAGGGGGAGAGGGAGUGAGUAUGAUAGACUUAGGGGGAGCUAGUGAGAGGGUCUUUUGGUUCUUUGUGUGAUACUUCAUGCAUCAUAUUUACUUUUUAUGCAUUGUGUGAUACACUUUACUCUUUGGUGAUGCUUGAUGGAUGCUAGUCAUGACAUGUGUGCUAAAUGUUUAUCUCUCUAUGUCAUGUUGUUUGGCUCAUAUGCUUUGCUUCUGCGUUUUACUUCGAUUUCAUAUGAGCCACUUGUUUCUCCUAUUGCAGUCGACUUAUAUCUUUGGAUGCAGGAUGUUGGCUUGUGUUGAUGCAAAAAUAAAUCUACAAAAACAAAGGGCUAAUACCCAAUUUCGAUAUCAAGGCGUGCUAGCCAAUUUGACCUAUUAAUCGACAAAGGUGAUAUCUUGAAUACUUUGGUCCCGACAAUAGCGAUGCGCCCAGAUAUCAUGGCCAAGAGGUACUCAUGCGGAACCCGAGAAAUCGUCGAGUGUAACUCACCGAAUCCUUGAGAACUCGUAAAGAGAAAAAGUAUGCGAGUUGACGAAGUCGUCAAAAAGUAUAUCCAAAAGUAGGAAUUAACUUGUGUUUUGAUAUUGAUUGAUCUAUCUAUUACAUUGCUGUUGGGUCUAUAUUUAUACCCUAACUUAUCAAAGGCAGUUAGUAGAAAAUCCAUUUUAUUAUGUAUAACUUUUAGAGACGAUUCAUUUGUAUCUAGCCUUUGUUUAACUUUAUCAUUAAUUUUGGUUUGUUGAGCAAUUAUCUCUUUUAAUGAAAGUUGUUUGACAGUAUUACCUGAAUUCAUACCUUUGCUAUUGGGUUGACUCGAAGUUGGUUGAUAUUUAUAUGCUGUCUCAAUGGCCCUUUGAUCUUCUUUGAACUUGGCCCUCUGGUCAAUCCAAUGGAGCAAAUUUUCUAUCUUAGUUGAUAAUGCAUUUACUUCUUCUGGUAUUUCUUCAGUUUGAUGACAUUGUUGAGCUUUAGCUUGGAACCAGCUUUGGUUUUCUGCUAUCUUAUCCAAAAGUAUCUCUGCUUUUCCAGUUGUAAGCUCCAAGAAUGAUCCUUUAGCAGAUGCAUCUAGGCACUCACGAGCCUUCUGGGUUAAUCCAUGGUAGAAGGUCUGCAUAAGUAACCAUGUGGCCAUUCCAUGGUGAGGACAAUCGGAUAUGUAUCCUUGAAAACGCUCCCAUGCUUCUGAAAUGGCUUCUGUCUUCUGUUGUUGGAAACUGACAAUAUUUUCUCUUAAGGCAGUUGUUUUGCCUAUAGGGAAAAACUUUGAUAGAAAGGCAUCUGACAAGUUCGUCCAGUUGUUGAUGUUAUCUUGAUGAGUGUAGAACCACUUCCUCGCUUUUCCUUCUAGUGAGAAUGGAAAGAGGCGAAGCAGUAUGACGUCUUUGUCAAUUCCGUUGAUGUGGAUUGUGCUUCCAAUCUCUAAGAAAUUCUGCAAGUGUGCACUGGCAUCUUCAUGUGCCUUUCCACUGAAUUGUGUAGCUUGUACCAAAUUGAUGAGGCUUGACUUGAGCUCAAACUCAGGUAUUCCUUCUUCUACUGCAAAUCUUGGACCAGUUAGAAUGUUCUCAAGGCUUGGAGCAGAGAAUUCUUGUAGGGUCUUCUGUGCCAUAGCUUCAGCAAUUGGUAGCUAGCUUCUUCUUCUCUUGAUUGCUUUGGUUCUGAUGAUGAAGAGUUGAAUGUACCCAAAGUCAAUCCUGUUAUACCCUGUAUAAAAAUAUAAACAUAGAAAAACAACAGGGUGAACCUGCCAAAGCAGCGGUGCCUUGUUAUGAUUUCUCACUUAGUAGCUGUUUUAUGCAAUUAUUUCUCUAUAGUCUAGUCUAAUAUUUUAUGUGAAUAACCUUGAUUGAUUUUCUGGCUUUCCUUAAUAUUACCCUUUUGUUCCCUUUUAUGACUUAUUCCUGAGGCUCAUAUAAUUCCUAUAAGUCCCCGGCAACGGCGCCAGAAAUGCUUGUUGACACUAACUAACACCACUUAGAUACUAGGUUGUCAUCCCUAGCAUGGCGCCAGAGUGUACAAAGGUAUUUAUAAAUGUAAAGGCUCUAUAGAAAAUAAUCUAUUCUAUCCGCAAGCGCACAGAUAAAACACCUCAUUGUAGCAUUUCACCAGGAUAAGUAUUCCAGGUAUCGUUAUUUAUAAUUUUGCUCUAGGGAUCUCAAGAAGAUGGAAUUUAAUCAAGGGACAAAAUCUACCAAGGCAUAGACUAGAGAUAAACUUGCAAGAACAUGAUUACUAAUGAGAAACUCGUCACACAGUCACUUACUUUAGCAGGGGGUAAACCAUAAAGAUAAUGAUAAUAAAGUAUAAGUUCAUGGGUAGAUAGCACAGCGAUUAGAAAAUAGACUACUCCUCAUAUAUGUAGGUGAUGUCGGAUUAGCUAGAGAAUGGAUUCUAAGUUAUCUACUAACUACUAAGUCAUAAUCUACUCUAGUUAUCUACAAGAUCAUAUAUAGCAUAAAAGACUCUUCAUUCAUGUAUAAGGAACAUUGAUAAAGUAAAUCAGAACAUCGCAUGACUUACUCCACAAUACCGGUUCUGCCUGUCCUAUCAACGGAGGGUGGACUAUAUAAGAAUCAACGAAGCUGUCACUAUCGCGAACUACCACACGACUCGGCCAAUAGGAUACAUUUGCAGAUAAAUAACAUCUAAGCACCACGCUCACAUGUGAUCUAUCACUUAACUCCCUCGCGACAAGAGCUAAGCGCUUUGCAAACUUAUACAUAAACUCAUUAUCAAUUAGAACUAUAUCAAAUAUAGAACUAGAGCAAACUAAGAACAUAAUAAUUAGAGACAUAAUGCAAUUAGAACAAUAGAAUUAGAGAAAGAUAUAAAUAAUACCAAUCUUUAUUACCGAAGAUCCGAAUCCAGAGCGUAGUGCUCUACUUCUCUAAUUGCUAUCUAAUCAACCUCUAAACUUGAAGGAUUAGGGAGUAGCUAAUUCUAAUUCUCUGUGGGAGAGAGAUCUAAACCCUAACUUUGAUGGCUACCUCUGAAUAAUGAUUUCUCCUCUCUCCUCCAGGGGCCAGGGGGUCUGGUUUUAUAGUCCCCUCAAGUGAACGUGGGCCGUCAGAUCAAACCAAAAUAGAUUGUAUGGUUUAGAUUGAUCCUUUAGGUCGGUGGAGUCUUGCCCCGAAGCAGAGUCCUGAUUGGCCUCUUGGCCAGGGCGGGCGCCCAAGGGAGGUGGGCGGCCGCCCAGCUCCCGAGCCCGAUUCGAGUCCCGUUUGUUCCCGUAAAUGAUAGUGAUGGUGAAAAUGCAAUAGUGUUAAUAAAUCUUAGUUCUCAUUGCUCCUCAUAUUGCUAUCUCUCCUCUUAUUUUUUAUCUUUGCUUUGGGAGAACAUGGGCUAUCUUUUUCUUUUCUUUUCUCUUUCUUUUUUUUUCAGGCGGGUAGUAGAUACCCCUAAUUAUACUGUCGGACACUUGUCCAUUUUUUCCGCUCAAGUGGGUAUCUUUGUACCCCUAAUUCUACUUCGGACACUUGUCCAUUUUUUCCUCUCGUCUCACUCUUUUUCUUUCUUUUCCAAGGUUCCCGGGCACUUGCCCCUUUUUAUUUCCUCGUAUAUUUUUGCAUAACCCAUGCCUCUUCUGCAUUGAAUCUUUUUAGAGAGAGAGAAUAACAAUACUUGGGACAGUGAGUGAUAAUAUUUUUAGCAAUUUUAAUGAAUGGUGGUGGAUGCUCUGGUAGAUGUGUGCAAGUGAAUAUCUAAAUUUAACCACAUGAAAAGCUCCUAAGGGUCGACACAGCUCGAUCAAACUCAAUGUAAAUAUAGUAAAAGAUGUUAUAGCAAGUAUGGCUGUGGUAGGUAGUUUUGUUAUGCUAGGAACUCAUCAUAUGAUUUGUAAGUUUUUAAAAUAAAUCUCCAGAACUUAGUGUAGUAGAAACAAGAUAAACAGUAGCUCAACUUUAUAUCAUGCGUUUCUCUUACCUAGACUUUAGUUUUAUGCUUCCCAAAGAUAGUAAUUUUAGUUUUAGUAAUUCCUGGAAGAAUUCUAAUAUAAAAGCUAGGUACUUGUAAGUAAGCAAACAGAGCAACUAUUUAUCAUUUCCAUCAUGCAUAUUUUUGGUCUUUUUAUUUUUUUAGAGAUUAAAUUUAGUAGAAAAAUAAAACACACUUAUCUACGCACUCUUUUUAUUUUAUUUUCAUGUUUAUAAAGUGCAGUAAAUUAAAGCAAGAAAAUAUUUAUUUGGUUUUCUAAGUUUUUUUUUCUUUUAAGAUAAAUAAAAUACUAAGACAGAAUAGAAUAAAUAAGAAGAGCAAAUAAAAACUUACUUGAUAAAUUAGGGAGGAACUCCCCCAAGCUGGAUGUUGACGUGGGUCUUACCCGAUGUUCCAGAACCGCAUCAUGGUUGUGAUGUUAUCGUUCAUUGUUGUUGUAUCUUGUCUCAGCUCUUGUACCGCAGCGGCAUGGUCCUGGUUCCAUUUUUGUUGCUCUUCCAGGAGUCUUCCAUGUUCUGCUUGCGUGUUCUGGAUGUCGAGGAGGGUGUUGUCGGUACGAGUGAAGAAAGCACCGGCCUCUUGAUAGUAGUCAUUCGUGAAGGCGUAGGAGGCGUCGGAGUAUCGUCUGCAUCAAAUUGGGGUGGAGGUCUGGAUCCUGAAGCUCCAUAUGGAUCAGUGGAGUACCUGCCCGUAUGAAAAGGCGGGUUUGUCCACUGGUGAUCUUGGCUCUCCGGCCAUGUCUCCUCUGUUGGCUCUUGUGGUUGCGCAUGACGAGCCCAUGGGUCUCGAAGGACUCGUGGAUUGUAAUCGCAAUAAUGUAGGUGUGCUGCUUCUUCUGGUCCAGGGUCAGCUCCAUACCAAGUGCGUUCUCGGUGAGUGGUUAUCCUUUC